GCUGUGGUGAAUACUUUAACGAAGAAAUACAUAUAUCAUUUACUGUUGUACGUAGAGUUGAACUCUUACAAAAACAGUUGCCUCACGAGAAAUCGCCUAAAAAAGUGACAUUUCAAUUUUGAAAUGGUUCUAUUUACAGACCUACAAGUUCAAAUUUAGUUUUUUUUAGGGCAAUGGGUAUGAAUGUUGUUUUUGGCGGCGUGUACGCUGUCCGGGAUUGUCAGACGUCUUAAUUAUUCCAAAAACUACAUUUUUACAUUAAGUCAUGCGUGAGGGGAUCGGUUCUGAUUGAGAACAUCGUGAAUGCGUGAGGGGA
Molecule: long non-coding RNA, 316 nt
Filed under: Mytilus galloprovincialis (Mediterranean mussel)
Lineage: Eukaryota; Metazoa; Mollusca; Bivalvia; Mytilida; Mytilidae
Source: RNAcentral